AUUGAACGCUGGCGGCGUGCUUUACACAUGCAAGUCGAGCGGCAGCACGACCUUCGGUUGGUGGCGAGCGGCGAACGGGUGAGUAAUACAUCGGAACGUACCUUUUAGUUGGGGAUAACGCAUCGAAAGAUGUGCUAAUACCGAAUAAUCUCUGAGGAGGAAAGGCGGGGAUCGGAAACGACCUGUCGCUGAAAGAGCGGCCGAUGGCCGAUUAGCUAGUUGGCGGGGGUAAAUGCCCACCAAGGCGAUGAUCGGUAGCUGUUCUGAGAGGAAGAUCAGCCACACUGGGACUGAGACACGGCCCAGACUCCUACGGGAGGCAGCAGUGGGGAAUUUUUGGACAAUGGGGGGAACCCGUGAUCCAGCAACGCCGCGUGAAUGAAGAAGGCCUUAGGGUUGUAAAGUUCUUUUGUCUAGGGAAGAAAAGGACUUGUGCUAAUAUCACAAGCUGCUGACGGUACCUGAAGAAUAAGCACCGGCUAACUACGUGCCAGCAGCCGCGGUAAAG
Molecule: ribosomal RNA, 508 nt
Filed under: uncultured bacterium
Lineage: Bacteria
Description: bacterial SSU rRNA
Rfam family: Bacterial small subunit ribosomal RNA
Source: RNAcentral